AGUCGAGCGGGANUAAAUUUGUAGUAAUACAAGUUUGAUUCAGCGGCGCACGGGUGCGUAACACGUGAACAAUCUGCCGAGAAGUGGGGGAUAGCUUGCCGAAAGGCAAAUUAAUACCGCAUAUGGCCAUUCUUCUAUUGGAGAAAAAGCCAAAGUCGCAAGACGCUUCUUGAUGAGUUCGCGGCCUAUCAGCUAGAUGGCGGGGUAACGGCCCACCAUGGCUAUGACGGGUAGCUGGUCUGAGAGGACGACCAGCCACACUGGAACUGAGACACGGUCCAGACACCUACGGGUGGCAGCAGUCGAGAAUUUUUCACAAUGGGGGAAACCCUGAUGGAGCGACGCCGCGUGGAGGAUGAAGGCCUUCGGGUCGUAAACUCCUGUCAUGCGGGAACAAGAAAGUGAUAGUACCGCAAGAGGAAGAGACGGCUAACUCUGUGCCAGCAGCCGCGGUAAUACAGAGGUCUCAAGCGUUGUUCGGAUUCAUUGGGCGUAAAGGGUGCGUAGGUGGUCAUGUAAGUCUAAUGUGAAAUCUCGGGGCUCAACCCCGAAAUUGCAUCGGAUACUGCGUGACUAGAGGACUGUAGAGGAGAUUGGAAUUCACGGUGUAGCAGUGAAAUGCGUANAUAUCGUGAGGAAGACCAGUUGCGAANGCGAAUCUCUGGGCAGUUCCUGACACUGANGCACGAAGGCCAGGGGAGCAAACGGGAUUAGAUACCCCNGUAGUCCUGGCAGUAAACGGUGCACGUUUGGUGNGGGCGGNUUCAGACCCCGUCCGUGCCNGANCUAACGCGUUAAACGUGCCGCCUGGGAAGUACGGUCGCAAGAUUAAAACUNAAAGAAAUUGACGGGGGCCCGCAC
This 861-nucleotide ribosomal RNA is filed under the name Spartobacteria bacterium URHD0058. RNAcentral describes it as "bacterial SSU rRNA". It matches the Rfam family "Bacterial small subunit ribosomal RNA", at positions 60 to 926 of the family's 1533-position model. The record is from RNAcentral. Lineage: Bacteria; Pseudomonadati; Verrucomicrobiota; Spartobacteria.